This 32-nucleotide non-coding RNA is filed under the name Rattus norvegicus (Norway rat). The record is from RNAcentral. Lineage: Eukaryota; Metazoa; Chordata; Mammalia; Rodentia; Muridae.
ACCAUGGCUUGAUGUCUGAGGACAUAGUCAUC